AAGUCGUAACAAGGUUUCCGUAGGUGAACCUGCGGAAGGAUCAUUAAAAGUAAUUGGUUAUACAUAUCCUGUAUCAACUGCACAAACCCAUUCCGAGUACCUUGCCUGUUGCUUCCAUGGGGCCUGACGUUUGGUCAUCUCUUGUGAUGCGAAUCCCAAGAGAGUCCCCAUGGGGGUAGUCAUUGAAUUCAUAGAUACCAUGAUCCAUUCUGCUUGAAUGAAUUGAAAAUAACAAAUGUUAAAA
This 244-nucleotide unclassified non-coding RNA is filed under the name plant metagenome. Its description in RNAcentral is "partial contains small subunit ribosomal RNA and internal transcribed spacer 1". The stretch from base 1 to 46 matches the Rfam family "Eukaryotic small subunit ribosomal RNA", at positions 1786 to 1831 of the family's 1831-position model. The record is from RNAcentral.